CAGGUUCCAUGUUCAGCACAGAGCCCGACAUGGGGCUCAAUCCCACGACCCUGGAAUCAUGACCUGAGCCAAAAUCAAGAUCCUGACGCUCAAAUGACUGAGCCACCCAGGCACCCCCGGCCCUGCUUCCUCAGAAUACCCAGACCCCUAAUACCAGAGGUAACAACAACAGUCAUGGGUUUCAGUCCGUCUUCAUGGUGUUCCAGCGUGUUCUUGACCUCCCCCACUUUACCUCUGUGUUCAUCUCUGGGACUGAGAUUGAUAUCCUUGGAAUUUCCAUGUAAGAGGAGUGUCUUUGUUAAUUCACACGCUGCUUGGGUCAUACCUGAGUUUAUGCUGAGCAGUGAGAUGGCUCAGUGUGGGGCCAUCUGACCAGGAUGGGGCUGGUCAACUAGAAAGACCCACUGCCUGGUGAGCACGUUGGGGCUUUGAGCCAGCCUGACCUCUGGGGAGGGCAUGGGGCUGGGAUUGAGUGAAUGGCAUGGCUGAUGAUUCAAUUGAUCACGCCUAUGCAGUCACAUCCCAUUUCAAACUCUGCAUGCACCAAAGCCCGGUGGACCUUCCUAGGUGGUAAACACAUCGAUGUACCCGGAUUUACACUGAUGGCAGAACACGCUGAUGAUGCCCUGAUUCCACAGGGAGAGAGCAUGGAAGCACCAUGGUCAGGACCCUCCCAGGCCUCGCCCUAUGUGUCUUUCCCUUUGCAGCAAACUGUGAUCACUGACCUAGCACUCUCCGGAGCUUUAUGGGUCAUUCUAAUGAGUUACUGAACCCAAAUGUGUUUUGGGAACCCCCUCGGUUUUGUGGCCAGUUGAUCAGUUGCACCGGUGGCCUGGGGACCCCACUUGAGGCUGGCAUCUGAAGGUGGGGGUGGAGGGGGUGGGCGAUCAUAACCAGUUUAUAUCGGAUGAACAUCCUUCUUAGCUUUCCUAAUGCCCUCCCCGAGGACAUCAAGCCCCGCAUCAGACACGAAGACCGCCGGCCAGCUCCCACAAGUUGUGUGAGGUCAGAUUUCCAUGUAUAAGCGUAUGUAUGUGUGCAGGCGUGGACGGUGGCCCAGCCUCUCUGACUGAGCUCUGACUGAUACAAAUGCCUCAUCCACUGGUACCUCCCUGCCUUCUCUACCCAGGGCGCUCUUCAGUAUCCACCCAAACCCUCUGAUCAUUUAUUACACACCUGCCAUUUUCCACUUGUCUGGGUGUCCCAGAGGGAGUGAUGCCGUUCAACUGUGCAGACACCCGAGGGAUGAAUAUUGCAAUGACACUAACAAAGCAAGGACAAAGCCCUGGCAGAUCUGGGCUGGCUUGAAGGAACCUAGCAUUUAUCUGGCUUUGGAAGCACGGGAGAGCUUUCUGUGGACGAGAAAUUGGGUGAGGUGAGGUCUUAGCAGGAGCCUUUCCUUCCUGAGAAUUGUUCUGACACUCGCUGUCCAGCGGAUCCAGCCCCGGGACCAUGUGUGCUUUUCCUCGUUUGACUUCCCAUUGCCUUUAAGGGUCUUUCUCGGUUAGGCUGCUAUACUCAUCAUAACAGCUGCCAUAGGUAAAGGGGCCACUCUGUGCCAGGGGCUUGCCAUGCAUUAUCUCUGAAGCUGGCUCUAAAGCUGCCUCUUAAUCCCCAUCACCUAUUUCACCCAUCCCCCACCCCCCUGCCCUCUGGUAACCGUCUGUCUGUUCUUGGUAGUUAAGAAUCUGGUUUUUGGUUUGCCUCCACAGGUUGGCAUUAUUAGCUCCACUUUACAGAUGGGAAAACUGAGGUUUACAAAGUCCCACGUUUUGGACAAAGGACCAUACAAAUGAGUAUAAGUGGAAGAGCUGGGAUCCGAACUCAGACCCCUGUGGCUCUAAAGCCCAUGCUAUGCUCUCCCCGCCCAUGUAAGCUCCUUCAACAUGGGGGAGACCCCUCUGCGUCCCUGGCACGUGGCGCCAGGUCUGGCUGGAGCCGCCGCCCCUUGGGUUUGUUGAAUCCACCUCCUGCCCCACCAUCCCCACCUCCUUAUCUGGCCCCUCUUCUCUCAGGGGACAGGGAGGCAGAGGGGAGAAAGGUUUCCCCUGCUCGCCCCCCGCUUCGGGCAGAUCGCUGGGUAUUUUUACCAGCCCGGGAAGACUGGGAGUAAAACGGGCUCCGGUUUUGAACUUGCCUUGUCAGCCCUGCCUCCCGAGUCCCCCCGGCAAAAGGUUUACGGUCGACUCUCGCAGCUUUGCUGAUGCAGCCGGUAAUGUUUAUAACCACAAUCAAGCACUCCGAGAGCCGCAGCACUGAUUUCUCGCCCAUCUCUACCCUGUAACAGAAGAUUUUUCAAUCGAGUAGGUUCGUCUCAUGCACAACAUUAGUUUUAAAAUAGCUCUAGCCCAGCUCUGAGGAUUGCACAGGGAUUUGUACUUGAAGUCAUGGAAAUACAUUUAUUUUACCUUCCUCUUACUCCCUCUUUGAGGGAUUUUAAUACAUCAUGCAGGAGUACUUCUCACGUGUCAGGAAAAAGAUGGUCUCUGCAGCGAAGACAAAGGACUGUGCGUAUUGUAUUUGUUGAAAGAGAAGAGCUCCACUUGGGCUCACCCCCGUGGGCUUCUCAGGGUCCCGUAAUUGGGGACUUUCCCUCGUGCCUGACCCUGGGGGCAUCAGCUGGAAAUCUCCUGCAGCCCCGGCGAUCCGCCAGUAAUUUAAAGGCUGGAUGUGGGGUCGGCAGAGGGAAGGUGCCCGGCAGAGGCAUCACCCAGCCAGUUCCCGUGUAGCCGGAGAGACGCACACCUCGGUGUGACUCAGGCCCUGCAGACCGCCUGAGAUCGCAGCCCGAGCCCCUACGUGGACAGGACAGCAGAGCUGCAGGUAUCGGUGAAUAACCCGGGCGUAGUCAUCGUGCUUCUGUAUCUGUAGCGUGACGUCCUGGGAGGGAGCAGUUGCUGACCCAAAGGCUGUCUUUGUUUCCUGUGGCUGCUUAGCCACGGAGUGACUUGAGGAAACGCAGCCUUACUCUCUCACUGUUCUGGAGGUCGGAAAUCCAGAAUCCAUUCCACUGGGCUAAAAUCAAGGCGUUGGCAGGUCAGGUUGAUCCUGCAGGCUCUAGAAGAAGCCGUUGCCUUGCCUUUUUGCAGCUUCUGGUAGCCACUCGCAUUCCUUGGCUUGCAGCCCCUCGGUCCAUUUUCAAAGGACGUUGCUCCGGUCCCUGCCCUGUCAGCCCGUUGUCUUCUCGAGUCUGAUCUCCCGCCUCCCUCCUGUAAGGACGCUUGUGAUUACGUCAGACCCCCCUGGGUGACCUGGAAUAAUUUUAGCAUGUCCGGAGUCUCAGCUUAAUUGAAUCCAGCACCCUGUUUGCCAUGUAAGGUAACGUUCACACACGCCAGGGGUUAGGAUGUGGACCCCACGAUUCAGCCUGCCUCAAAGCUUAAAUUGCCCUCCGUCGGGCUUGUAACAAUUUACCUCCUCGCCACCAAUAUAAGGGCCUACCCAUUCCCCAUACCUUAGCCAUACAGCUCUGUCAACGUGAUCUUUGCAAAUUUGAUGAUAGAGAAAAAUCAUACCCGGUGUGGUUUGAAUUCGCAUGUUUCUCACGAGUGAGAUAGAGAAUACGUUUAUAUGUGCAAAAGCCAUCUGCAUUUCAUUUUUGGUAGACUGUAUUGUCACAUACGUUGCCUGCUUCUUUUGCGGGGUGGGGUGUGAGUAUGGGGCGUGUUGGCCUUUUCAGCCCUCUGAGUUGAAUUAGAGACGAAGACAUGAAAAGCCCAGAGACCUUCAAUAGCUCACCCGAGGCCACGGGCAGGUGGAUGGCAGGCCCAGGACUGAAGCCGUCCUUGAUUUUCAACUUCAUCUGUUACAGUCUUAUCACGCGGCAGCUAGGUGUAGCUGCUUCUCUGUCGAGCCACACAUUAGGGAUAAUGAGCAAACCGCUAAUACUGAUUGGGCUGUGCUUUUGCCAUUUUGUCCAGGAGCUUUUGUUUUCGCUUGUUUCCUUUUUACCCUCCUAGGUAUUACUAUCCCAUUUCACACACAGGGAAACCGAGGCUCAGAGAGACUUCGGAGCCUGGCUGCAGGCAGAUGACCGAUGAGUGCAAACCCAAGGCGGAAAGACAAUUCCUUCCCUCUGACCUCCACUUCAGCCCUUUCCCUGCUAUUCUCCACUAUGAUUCCAGCGGCCCAUGUGAUCUCCCCAACCAGAGGAAAUUCCCUCGCCUCACCCAGCGUCCGCGGACUAUCAGGAGGACGCUGUACAUCAGGGACACAGCCGGUUCGGUUCGAAACUUGGAGAGUUAAAAACUUGUGUCCAUACAAAAGCCUGCUCGUGGAUGUUUAUAGCAGCCUUAUUCAUAAUUGUCAAAGCGUGGAAGCAACCAGGAUGCCCUUGUGUAGGGGAGUGGGUAAAUAAGCCAUGGUGUGGUCCAUCCACACAAUGGAAUAGUAUUCAGCGCUAAAAGGAAAUGAGCUAUCAAGCCACAAAAGACACGGAAAAGGUUGAAAUGCAUAUUAUUAAGUGAAAGAGGCCAACCUGAAAAGACUUCGUGCUGUAGGAUUCCAACUAUAGGACAUUCUGGAAAGAGCAAAACUAUGCAGACAGUAAAAAACAGAUCAGCAGUGGCCAGGGGUUGGGUCGCGGGGAGGGAUGAACAGGCAGAGCAUAGAGGACUCUCAGGGCAGUGAAACUAUUCCAUAUGAUACCAUCAUGAUGGCGUCGUUAUGCAUUUGCCCAAACCCUUGGAAUGUGCACCAACCACCAAGAAUGAGCCCGAAUGUUAACAACGGGCUUUGGGUGAUAAUGAUGUGUCAGUGUGGGUUCAUCGAUUGUAACAAAGGUACCAUCUGGUGAGGGAUGUUGAUAGUGGGAGAGGCUGUGUGUAGGAGAGAAGAGGGUCUUACAUGGCAAAUCUCCAUACCUUCUGCUCAGUAUUGCUGUGACUCUGAAUCUGCUCUAAAAGCUAAAGUCCAUUAAAAACAAAACAAAAACUUGGAGGGUGGGCUCCUGAAGAUGCCCAUCAGGGAAACUGAGGCCAGACUUGGAUGGGCAGCUGGGAUCUGACCCCUGGUCUCCUGACCGUGGUGGAGUCACUGUUCUUUCCACUGUGCCUCCCUGCCAAGGAAAACGUCAGUAUCAAUCCAUCCCUGACCUCCUGGUCACUCGCACCCAGAAUGGAAGCCAGCCAACUCUGACAUCCAUGGCCCUUACGAGCCACUGUCCCCGGGAACUCCUCCUUAAGCACUCUUACUGUUAAAGCAUGUUGGGGACCAUCAUCUCUUCAUUGCAGUAGUGUCCAUAGGCUUGAAUAAUGGCUGGAAUCUUGUGGGUUCAUUGGCUGGACAUUACGGGAUGCCUGUGUUGUGCCGUGAGCAAAAGAAGGCUUUAUUCACACCGGCAUCUGGGCCAGAGGGGUCUGAAAAGCUCAAUUAUUCGGCAGAGCGUGAUGGAAAAAUAAAACCCCGAGUAGAUGUGUUUAAGGUCAUCCUUUGACUUCUUGGAAGGUGGGGAGCCAGGAGUCCCGACUCUCUCAUUGGCCUUAACUGUUGCUCGAGGCUCUCCAAUCUUAACUUUACCCCCAAUAAAACAAAUGUAUAUAUAACUUUAUUUUCAUUAAAAGCUUCAUACCAAGAAGACAGCAUGACUCAUAUCUUUGAAUCGAUGUAAUUUUGGUUCAUAAAGUGGGAUUAAAACGGAGGAGCCAA
This is a long non-coding RNA of Felis catus (domestic cat), 5646 nucleotides long. RefSeq lists it as uncharacterized. NCBI's taxonomy places the organism in Eukaryota, Metazoa, Chordata, Mammalia, Carnivora, Felidae. The transcript has 2 exons. The record is from RefSeq and is a predicted model, not a curated record.